GAGCAGGCUUUGGUCUUAUUAAAAUGUAACUAGCAUAUUAGGUCCUGUCUUGUUCUUGGGAGGGAAGAUGUUCUUUUUCAGGGAUCUCAGAUGAGAACUGGGCCACAACACCGGGUUUGUUUAGGCCACAAAAAUGGAAGCAGGAACCUCUUCUCUCCUGCUGGCAAAGAACCCCAGACAUUGAAUGACCUGAAUAAAGUGCUCUCAGAUGAGCUCCAGACCAACAACAGUGACAGGAAUUAUUCAGCAAGUAUUUGAGGAGAACUGCAAUGUUAGAGAGAAUCAUGAACUGCUCAGAGACAACUAAUGCAGAGAAGCAGCAAAAUUAAUCAAACAUAGAACUGGUUCUGACUUAU
Chelonoidis abingdonii (Abingdon island giant tortoise) is the source of this 356-nucleotide non-coding RNA. The record is from RefSeq and is a predicted model, not a curated record. Lineage: Eukaryota; Metazoa; Chordata; Testudines; Testudinidae.